This 86-nucleotide transfer RNA is filed under the name Pneumocystis canis. RNAcentral describes it as "tRNA-Tyr". It matches the Rfam family "tRNA". Rfam says of the family: Transfer RNA (tRNA) molecules are approximately 80 nucleotides in length. Their secondary structure includes four short double-helical elements and three loops (D, anti-codon, and T loops). Lineage: Eukaryota; Fungi; Ascomycota; Pneumocystomycetes; Pneumocystales; Pneumocystaceae. The record is from RNAcentral.
GAGAAGAAUUCCAAUGUCGGUUGUUGGAGUUGGGCUGUAAACCCAUAAGUAAAAAACUUACGAGGGUUCGACUCCCUCUCUUCUCA